This 548-nucleotide ribosomal RNA is filed under the name uncultured Glomus. RNAcentral describes it as "SSU rRNA". It matches the Rfam family "Eukaryotic small subunit ribosomal RNA", at positions 548 to 1098 of the family's 1831-position model. Lineage: Eukaryota; Fungi; Glomeromycota; Glomeromycetes; Glomerales; Glomeraceae. The record is from RNAcentral.
UUGGAGGGCAAGUCUGGUGCCAGCAGCCGCGGUAAUUCCAGCUCCAAUAGCGUAUAUUAAAGUUGUUGCAGUUAAAAAGCUCGUAGUUGAAUUUCGGGAUCAAUACGUCGGUCGUGCUUCGGUACGUACUGGUGUCAUUGAUUUCUCCCUUCUGACGAACCAUGAUGUCAUUAACUUGGUGUCAUGGGAAAUCAGGACUGUUACUUUGAAAAAAUUAGAGUGUUUAAAGCAGGCUCACGCUUGAAUACAUUAGCACGGAAUAAUGAAAUAGGACGUUCGAUCCUAUUUUGUUGGUUUCUAGGAUCAACGUAAUGAUUAAUAGGGAUAGUUGGGGGCAUUAGUAUUCAAUUGUCAGAGGUGAAAUUCUUGGAUUUAUUGAAGACUAACUACUGCGAAAGCAUUUGCCAAGGAUGUUUUCAUUAAUCAAGAACGAAAGUUAGGGGAUCGAAGACGAUCAGAUACCGUCGUAGUCUUAACCAUAAACUAUGCCGACUAGGGAUCGGAUGAUGUUAAUUAUUUAAUGACUCAUUCGGCGCCUUACGGGAAAC